Molecule: long non-coding RNA, 1088 nt
Organism: Gorilla gorilla gorilla (western lowland gorilla)
Lineage: Eukaryota; Metazoa; Chordata; Mammalia; Primates; Hominidae
Exons: 2
Source: RefSeq, a predicted model, not a curated record
AAGGGUCCUCCUCCCUUCAACUGUGACGUCACAGUUGGUUGCUGUGGAAAUGAUUGUCCUACGACAAAGGAUUGCGACUUAAGUAGAAGCAGCAAAUAUCUCUUAAGAAAUAAAGAUUCUGUGAUCCAACAAAUACCCUUGGUAAUAAAAGGCAGUCAAGGCAAUUCACCAUAAGGAAAGAGUGUACAAGACGGGAGGCAGAGGGCUUUCCUCAUCUGCUUGUGUAAAUUCAGAAACGUCCAAAGAUGGAAACAGAUCAGAGAGUAAGUUGAAAGUGCAGUUGAAGAAGAUAAGGUAAACGUUAUUUUUGGAAAUGCCUUUCAAACUUAAAGCUUUCUGCUUAUAUCAUGAAAAAGGCCAAAGAAGCAUUCACAGAAAUGAUCAAGUCAACUUUGUGGAAUAGCCAUUGUGAAGGCUUGGAAACAGCAGACUUGUCAGUGGUGGUGAUAAAAGCAGCUAGAGAAGAUCUCAGUGGGCUUGGAAUUGUAGGCUCCCACUUACUGGCUGGGUGACCUUUUGGCAAGUGACUUAACAUCUCUGGGCCUCAGUUUUUUUAUCUGUAGCAUGAGGUGAACAUACCUAAUCUUACUGCCUUACUGGGUUGUUACAAGAAUCAAAGGAAAUAAAAAAUAGGAAAGAGCUUAAAUGCUGUAGUUUGCUGGACAAAUCUAAAGCUCAAAAGAAGCCACAAAGGAGAAGUGGUGGGUUAGUGGCUCACAGAGGGCUUCCAAGUGAUAGUCGCAGGCUGCUCCAUUGGAUUCCAUUUGCUAUUGGUCUCCCAUGGGAGAGGAGUAGACCUGUGCUUCCAGGUCCAAACUUCGUGCCUUCUAAAUGUAGUCAAAAAGGUGAUAUGAGAUUUCGAAGCAAUAUAAGGGAACACAUACUGUUUCAGGAUGCCUAUAGUUACUGAAUUUUGAAAUAAUUAAAACAACAGAAGUGGAAAAUGUUGGCAAUUAUAGUUGGAUUCUCAGUGGAGUGCAAAUCCUGGGCAAGUACCACAUUUUUUCUGCAUUUAUAACCCUUGCCAUCCACAGAGCUCUUAGUUGGGUAACUCAAUAAAUGAUGGCUGAAUAAAUGGGUUUUCAAUA